Portunus trituberculatus (swimming crab) is the source of this 475-nucleotide long non-coding RNA. RefSeq lists it as uncharacterized. The record is from RefSeq and is a predicted model, not a curated record. NCBI's taxonomy places the organism in Eukaryota, Metazoa, Arthropoda, Malacostraca, Decapoda, Portunidae. The transcript has 2 exons.
AAUGUGUGUGUGUGUCUGUGUGUGUGUGUGUGUGUGUGUGUGUGUGUGUGUGGCGCGCGUCAUAUCCGGUUGUGAGGGGAAGCUGUGUCUGUGUCUGUCAGUGUGUGUGUACGUGCGUGUUUGCUCUCUCUCUCUCUCUCUCUCUCUCUCUCUCUCUCUCUCUCUCUCUCUCUCUCUCUCUCUCUCUCUCUCUCUCUCUCUCUCAUUUCCCCUUCUUUCUCCCCUUGUAUGACCUUCGAAAAUCCUCCUCCUCCUCCUCCUCCCCCGCUGUUAUCUCCACGUUGUAGUAACACUGGCAGACCACGAUAAGGACACCGUUGAGUCAGACAGGCGCCGCUACACGUGGUGAGAGAGAGAGAGAGAGAGAGAGAGAGAGAGAGAGAGAGAAUUUGAUUUAGUUUGAUUCGUAAAUUAUUGUUUGUCGGUAGAUUAUGAGAGAGAGAGAGAGAGAGAGAGAGAGAGAGAGAGAGAGAGA